RNAcentral lists this ribosomal RNA (291 nucleotides) under uncultured Bacillus sp. RNAcentral describes it as "partial 16S ribosomal RNA". It matches the Rfam family "Bacterial small subunit ribosomal RNA", at positions 625 to 914 of the family's 1533-position model. The record is from RNAcentral. Lineage: Bacteria; Bacillati; Bacillota; Bacilli; Caryophanales; Bacillaceae.
AUUGGAAACUGGGGAACUUGAGUGCAGAAGAGGAGAGUGGAAUUCCACGUGUAGCGGUGAAAUGCGUAGAGAUGUGGAGGAACACCAGUGGCGAAGGCGACUCUCUGGUCUGUAACUGACGCUGAGGAGCUAAAGUGUGGGGAGCGAACAGGAUUAGAUACCCUGGUAGUCCACGCCGUAAACUAUGAGUGCUAAGUGUUAGGGGGUUUCCGCCCCUUAGUGCUGCAGCUAACGCAUUAAGCACUCCGCCUGGGGAGUACGGUCGCAAGACUGAAACUCAAAGGAAUUGAC